UGGGGAAUAUUGGGCAAUGGACGCAAGUCUGACCCAGCAACGCCGCGUGAAGGAAGAAGGCUUUCGGGUUGUAAACUUCUUUUAAGGGGGAACAGUAGAAGAGGGUACCCCUUGAAUAAGCCACGGCUAACUACGUGCCAGCAGCCGCGGUAAUACGUAGGUGGCAAGCGUUGUCCGGAUUUACUGGGUGUAAAGGGCGUGCAGCCGGAGAGACAAGUCAGAUGUGAAAUCCGCGGGCUUAACCCGCGAACUGCAUUUGAAACUGUUUCCCUUGAGUAUCGGAGAGGUAAUCGGAAUUCCUAGUGUAGCGGUGAAAUGCGUAGAUAUUAGGAAGAACACCAGUGGCGAAGGCGGAUUACUGGACGACAACUGACGGUGAGGCGCGAAAGCGUGGGGAGCAAACAGG
This 406-nucleotide ribosomal RNA is filed under the name uncultured bacterium. RNAcentral describes it as "bacterial SSU rRNA". It matches the Rfam family "Bacterial small subunit ribosomal RNA", at positions 355 to 776 of the family's 1533-position model. The record is from RNAcentral.